RNAcentral lists this unclassified non-coding RNA (301 nucleotides) under Glomeraceae sp. RNAcentral describes it as "partial contains 5.8S ribosomal RNA and internal transcribed spacer 2". The stretch from base 1 to 71 matches the Rfam family "5.8S ribosomal RNA", at positions 84 to 154 of the family's 154-position model. Lineage: Eukaryota; Fungi; Glomeromycota; Glomeromycetes; Glomerales; Glomeraceae. The record is from RNAcentral.
GUGAAUCAACAAAUCUUUGAACGCAAAUUGCACUCUCCGGCAUUCCGGAGAGUAUGCCUGUUUGAGGGUCGGUUUAAAUAAAAAUCGAGGUGUUGCCUUUUUGUGACCCAUCGGAAUUGGGCUAUCCGUGACCUUUUAAAAGGUUUAAGUGACCUAAAAUUGAUACCUUGUGCAUCUCAGACGUACAUAAGAAUAUUUUUUUAUCCGUCCGGAGUUGCCAACUUUUAUUAGGUAUGACCAUAUUGUUUGUGGCAUCGUAUCUAUAAUAUAUACUCAUAUUUUGACCUCAAAUUAGGUAAGA